RNAcentral lists this ribosomal RNA (505 nucleotides) under Grammomys sp. RNAcentral describes it as "partial small subunit ribosomal RNA". It matches the Rfam family "Bacterial large subunit ribosomal RNA", at positions 1854 to 2579 of the family's 2925-position model. The record is from RNAcentral. Lineage: Eukaryota; Metazoa; Chordata; Mammalia; Rodentia; Muridae.
ACUGCCUGCCCAGUGACCAAAAUUAAACGGCCGCGGUAUCCUAACCGUGCAAAGGUAGCAUAAUAAUUUGUUCCUUAAUUAGGGACUAGUAUGAACGGCUAAACGAGGAUCCAACUGUCUCUUAUUCUUAAUCAGUGAAAUUGACCUUCCAGUGAAGAGGCCGGAAUAAAAUAAUAAGACGAGAAGACCCUGUGGAGCUUUAAUUAAUUAUCUUAAUUAUCAAACCCAAACCCUAAUGGAAUAAAAAUAUAAACAUAAGAUAACAAUUUCGGUUGGGGUGACCUCGGAGAACAAAAAACCCUCCGAAUGAUUGUAGCAAAGACAAACAAGUCAAGGCAAAACAUAAAAUCUUAUUGACCCAAAACAUUUUUUGACCAACGGACCAAGUUACCCUAGGGAUAACAGCGCAAUCCUAUUUAAGAGUUCAUAUCGACAAUUAGGGUUUACGACCUCGAUGUUGGAUCAGGACAUCCCAAUGGCGCAGAAGCUAUUAAAGGCUCGUUUG